Molecule: ribosomal RNA, 253 nt
Filed under: uncultured bacterium
Lineage: Bacteria
Description: partial 16S ribosomal RNA
Rfam family: Bacterial small subunit ribosomal RNA
Source: RNAcentral
UACAGAGGGUGCGAGCGUUGUUCGGAAUUAUUGGGCGUAAAGGGCGCGUAGGCGGUGCGGCAAGUCACCUGUGAAACCUCUGGGCUUAACCCAGAGCCUGCAGGUGAAACUGCCGUGCUGGAGUGUGGGAGAGGUGCGUGGAAUUCCCGGUGUAGCGGUGAAAUGCGCAGAUAUCGGGAGGAACACCGGUGGCGAAGGCGGUUCUCUGGGCCUUACCUGACGCUGAGGAGCGAAGGCGUGGGGAGCGAACAGG